RNAcentral lists this ribosomal RNA (253 nucleotides) under uncultured prokaryote. RNAcentral's name for it is "partial 16S ribosomal RNA". It matches the Rfam family "Bacterial small subunit ribosomal RNA", at positions 525 to 777 of the family's 1533-position model. The record is from RNAcentral.
ACAGAGGGUGCAAGCGUUAAUCGGAUUUACUGGGCGUAAAGCGUGCGUAGGCGGUUCAGUAUGUCGGUCGUGAAAUCCCCGGGCUUAACCUGGGAACUGCGGCCGAAACUGCUGGGCUUGAGUGUGGUAGAGGAAGGUGGAAUUCCAGGUGUAGCGGUGAAAUGCGUAGAUAUCUGGAGGAACACCGAUGGCGAAGGCAGCCUUCUGGGCCACAACUGACGCUGAGGUACGAAAGCGUGGGUAGCAAACAGGA